GGCAGUGUUCACAGGUUUUGCAGCCAAUCUGCGGGGGUGGGGACAAAAUUUGAAAAAGAUACAUUAACGAUACUUUCUGUAAGAUUUAGAUAAAGAGCUGACCAUUCUUGCUAUGAUAGUUCAAAAAUAAAUAAUAUACAUUUUGUAGUUUCGACAUGAUGUGUGCAUUGUGGUAAUGAGGGCACAGGUAUA
Long non-coding RNA from Patella vulgata (common limpet), 192 nucleotides. RefSeq lists it as uncharacterized. NCBI's taxonomy places the organism in Eukaryota, Metazoa, Mollusca, Gastropoda, Patellidae. The record is from RefSeq and is a predicted model, not a curated record. The transcript is spliced from 2 exons.